ACCUUCUGUGGUGUAGUUGGUAGCACCUAGGCAUAAUAAUUAUAUAUCCCAGGUUCAAAUCCCGGUAGGGGUA
Halocaridina rubra (Hawaiian volcano shrimp) is the source of this 73-nucleotide non-coding RNA. Lineage: Eukaryota; Metazoa; Arthropoda; Malacostraca; Decapoda; Atyidae. The record is from the annotation of a GenBank genome assembly.